This is a long non-coding RNA of Pollicipes pollicipes, 214 nucleotides long. RefSeq lists it as uncharacterized. Lineage: Eukaryota; Metazoa; Arthropoda; Thecostraca; Pollicipedomorpha; Pollicipedidae. The transcript is spliced from 3 exons. The record is from RefSeq and is a predicted model, not a curated record.
GGCGUGGGAGCGGGGGACGGCAGAGGUACUGCCGGCUGUGGGAUUCACGGGGUGGGUUCUGGGUUGGUUAAGCCUCAAUCAAGAUACCAGCAAUGAUUGGAAGAAUUGCUCUGCCAAAAACAACAACUCUGUCACUAAAUGACAGGUUCUCCCACUUGCGUCAGCUGCGUGACCAGCAGCUGCAGCAGCAACAACAGCGGCAACAACAACAGCA